UACGUAGGGUGCAAGCGUUGUCCGGAAUUAUUGGGCGUAAAGAGCUCGUAGGCGGUUCGUCGCGUCGGCUGUGAAAAACCUGAGGCUCAACCUCAGGCCUGCAGUCGAUACGGGCGGACUUGAGUACUGCAGGGGAGACUGGAAUUCCUGGUGUAGCGGUGAAAUGCGCAGAUAUCAGGAGGAACACCGGUGGCGAAGGCGGGUCUCUGGGCAGCAACUGACGCUGAGGAGCGAAAGCGUGGGGAGCGAACAGG
Molecule: ribosomal RNA, 254 nt
Filed under: uncultured bacterium
Lineage: Bacteria
Description: partial 16S ribosomal RNA
Rfam family: Bacterial small subunit ribosomal RNA
Source: RNAcentral